RNAcentral lists this ribosomal RNA (253 nucleotides) under uncultured bacterium. RNAcentral describes it as "partial 16S ribosomal RNA". It matches the Rfam family "Bacterial small subunit ribosomal RNA", at positions 524 to 776 of the family's 1533-position model. The record is from RNAcentral.
UACGUAGGGGGCAAGCGUUGUCCGGAUUUAUUGGGCGUAAAGAGCGUGUAGGCGGCCAGACAGGUCCGUUGUGAAAACUCGAGGCUCAACCUCGAGAUGUCGAUGGAAACCGUCUGGCUAGAGUCCGGAAGAGGAGUGUGGAAUUCCUGGUGUAGCGGUGAAAUGCGCAGAUAUCAGGAGGAACACCAAUUGCGAAGGCAGCUCGCUGGGACGUAACUGACGCUGAGACGCGAAAGCGUGGGGAGCAAACAGG